ACCCUAAAACUAAAGUAUCAGACUUCUGGAGCCGCCGACCAAACACCCAUCUCACUUUCUCUCCCACUCAUGAUCUCAUCCUUCCGAGCUCUAUGAGUCUCUGGUGUAUCGGCAAGGUGACGGUCCGGUCGAGCUCUCAUCCUCCAUUCUAUAAGCGAGGAGGUUCUCCAGCAGGUUGCAUUCCCUUUCUUCGUGGUAAAUCAAUUUUCUCAUCCUCUUCAUCUCCCACUACUUAAGAAGGUAAUCCCGUUAUUAAUUUUAUACUUUAAGAUAGUUAUCAAUUUAUCAUUGAUGGUGGUAACUGGUAAGUCAGUUGAAAUUUCUAGCGAGUUCUAGUCCAUGGUUGAUUUUUUACUUGAUUUAUUCAGGUCGCCUUAGUAGUUGAAAGGGUCGUGAACACAUGAAUUGCUAGAUUGACAUAAUCUCCAGGUUUCUUCAAAGUAACUCUCAUGUCAAGUACCAGUUUGCCUUUGACAAGGAUCUUUGUUAAUUUGGUUGAUACUUGAUAGGGACAGGGAUAACAUUUGAUUUGGAUAUUUGGGUUACAAAUUUACAAUGAAAUUUAAUUUAAUGAUUCAUAAAUUCAUAUU
Long non-coding RNA from Spinacia oleracea (spinach), 590 nucleotides. RefSeq lists it as uncharacterized. Lineage: Eukaryota; Viridiplantae; Streptophyta; Magnoliopsida; Caryophyllales; Amaranthaceae. The transcript has 2 exons. The record is from RefSeq and is a predicted model, not a curated record.